CAGCAGUCAAAAAUAUUAGUCAAUGCUCGCAAGAGUGAACUAGCUAACUGAAAUUCUUGAUGUGUCAUCAAGGAUAACGUAAGGGAAAAUAAUGAUAUUACCUUACUAUUAGUGUCGUCCAAGUGCUCGUGCCAGAAGACUCGGUAAGGCGAGAGACGCAAACGUUAUUCGUCUUGAUCAGGCGUAAAGGGUAUGUAGGCGGUUUUAAGAAUUCAAAAUUAAGUUUAUUAAUUAUGAUACUAACUAAACAAAAGUGUUAUAAUUUUAAAAACAGAAUCAAUUAAAGCUAGAAUCUAACAGAGGUUAAAACAAUACUUAUGGUAGGUGUACCAACCUAAGAUAAUAAGUAGAGUUUUAAGGGCGAAGGCAUUUACCCACUAAAGAUUGACGCUGAGAAACGAAGGUGAGGAAAGAAAAAAGGAUUAGAGACCCUUGUAUCCCUCACUGUCAACGAUGAAUGGUAGUUACUAGUAAGAAAUAAACUAGAGGCGAUGUUAACACGUAAACCAUUCCGCCUUGUGAGUACGACUGCAAAGUGAAAACAAAAAACUCAAGCAGUCAAGAAUGUAAAGC
RNAcentral lists this ribosomal RNA (573 nucleotides) under Panellus palmicola. Its description in RNAcentral is "partial small subunit ribosomal RNA". It matches the Rfam family "Bacterial small subunit ribosomal RNA", at positions 349 to 1411 of the family's 1533-position model. The record is from RNAcentral. Lineage: Eukaryota; Fungi; Basidiomycota; Agaricomycetes; Agaricales; Mycenaceae.